AACGAACGCUGGCGGCAGGCCUAACACAUGCAAGUCGAGCGAGGACUUCGGUUCUAGCGGCGGACGGGUGAGUAACGCGUGGGAAUGUGCCCUUCUCUACGGAAUAGCCCUGGGAAACUGGGAGUAAUACCGUAUACGCCCUAUUGGGGAAAGAUUUAUCGGAGAAGGAUCAGCCCGCGUUGGAUUAGGUAGUUGGUGGGGUAAUGGCCUACCAAGCCGACGAUCCAUAGCUGGUUUGAGAGGAUGAUCAGCCACACUGGGACUGAGACACGGCCCAGACUCCUACGGGAGGCAGCAGUUGGGAAUCUUAGACAAUGGGGGCAACCCUGAUCUAGCCAUGCCGCGUGAGUGAUGAAGGCCUUAGGGUUGUAAAGCUCUUUCAGCUGGGAAGAUAAUGACGGUACCAGCAGAAGAAGCCCCGGCUAACUCCGUG
This 433-nucleotide ribosomal RNA is filed under the name uncultured bacterium. Its description in RNAcentral is "partial 16S ribosomal RNA". It matches the Rfam family "Bacterial small subunit ribosomal RNA", at positions 29 to 507 of the family's 1533-position model. The record is from RNAcentral.